This 504-nucleotide ribosomal RNA is filed under the name uncultured bacterium. RNAcentral describes it as "partial 16S ribosomal RNA". It matches the Rfam family "Bacterial small subunit ribosomal RNA", at positions 29 to 523 of the family's 1533-position model. The record is from RNAcentral.
AUUGAACGCUGGCGGCAGGCCUAACACAUGCAAGUCGAACGGUAGCACAGAGAGCUUGCUCUCGGGUGACGAGUGGCGGACGGGUGAGUAACGUCUGGGAAACUGCCCGAUGGAGGGGGAUAACUACUGGAAACGGUAGCUAAUACCGCAUAACGUCGCAAGACCAAAGUGGGGGACCUUCGGGCCUCACACCAUAGGAUGUGCCCAGAUGGGAUUAGCUCGUAGGUGGGGUAAUGGCUCACCUAGGCGACGAUCCCUAGCUGGUCUGAGUGGAUGACCGACCACACUGGGACUGAGACACGGUCCAGACUACGACGGGAGGCAGCAGUGGGGAAUAUUGCACAGUGGGCGCAAGUCUGAUGCAGCGAUGCCGCGUGUAUGAAGAAGGUCUUCGGGUUGUAAAGUACUUUCAGCGGGGAGGAAGGCGGUGAAGUUAAUAGCUUCACCGACUGACGUUACCCGCAGAAGAAGCACCGGCUAACUCCGUGCCAGCCGCCGCCGUAA